UACGUAGGGGGCGAGCGUUAUCCGGAUUCACUGGGUGUAAAGGGAGCGUAGACGGCCAAGCAAGCCAGGGGUGAAAGCCCGGGGCCCAACCCCGGGACUGCCCUUGGAACUGCAUGGCUGGAGUGCGGGAGGGGUAGGCGGAAUUCCUGGUGUAGCGGUGAAAUGCGUAGAUAUCAGGAGGAACACCGGCGGCGAAGGCGGCCUGCUGGACCGCGACUGACGUUGAGGCUCGAAAGCGUGGGGAGCGAACAGG
Molecule: ribosomal RNA, 253 nt
Filed under: uncultured bacterium
Lineage: Bacteria
Description: partial 16S ribosomal RNA
Rfam family: Bacterial small subunit ribosomal RNA
Source: RNAcentral